This 246-nucleotide ribosomal RNA is filed under the name uncultured bacterium. Its description in RNAcentral is "partial 16S ribosomal RNA". It matches the Rfam family "Bacterial small subunit ribosomal RNA", at positions 88 to 334 of the family's 1533-position model. The record is from RNAcentral.
UGACUGAGCGGCGGACGGGUGAGUAACGCGUGGGUAACCUGCCUCGUACAGGGGGAUAACAGUUGGAAACGGCUGCUAAUACCGCAUAAGCGCACAGUACCGCAUGGUACGGUGUGAAAAACUCCGGUGGUAUGAGACGGACCCGCGUCUGAUUAGGUAGUUGGUGGGGUAACGGCCUACCAAGCCGACGAUCAGUAGCCGACCUGAGAGGGUGACCGGCCACAUUGGGACUGAGACACGGCCCAA